Molecule: ribosomal RNA, 253 nt
Filed under: uncultured bacterium
Lineage: Bacteria
Description: partial 16S ribosomal RNA
Rfam family: Bacterial small subunit ribosomal RNA
Source: RNAcentral
UACAGAGGUCCCGAGCGUUGUUCGGAUUCAUUGGGCGUAAAGGGUGCGUAGGCGGCGGGGCAAGUCUGAUGUGAAAUCCCGGGGCUCAACCCCGGAACUGCAUUGGAUACUGCCUUGCUUGAGUACUGGAGAGGGAACUGGAAUUUACGGUGUAGCAGUGAAAUGCGUAGAUAUCGUAAGGAAGACCAGUGGCGAAGGCGGAUCUCUGGACAGUUACUGACACUGAGGCACGAAGGCCAGGGGAGCAAACGGG